GACAAACGCUGGCGGCGUGCUUAACACAUGCAAGUCGAACGAUGAAGCCGGAGCUUGCUCCGGUGGAUUAGUGGCGAACGGGUGAGUAACACGUGAGCAAUCUGCCCUUGACUCUGGGAUAACUGCGGGAAACUGUAGCUAAUACCGGAUACGACACCUUGGGGCAUCCCAGGGUGUGGAAAGAAUUUCGGUCAAGGAUGAGCUCGCGGCCUAUCAGCUAGUUGGUGAGGUAAUGGCUCACCAAGGCGACGACGGGUAGACGGCCUGAGCGGGUGACCGGCCACACGGGAACUGAGACACGGUCCAGACUCCUACGGGAGGCAGCAGUGGGGAAUAUUGAACAAUGGGCGAAAGCCUGAUGCAGCAACGCCGCGUGAGGGAUGAAGGCCUUCGGGUUGUAAACCUCUUUUAGCAGGGAAGUAGCGAAAGUGACGGUACCUGCAGAAAAAGCACCGGCUAACUACGUGCCAGCAGCCGCAGUAA
This 483-nucleotide ribosomal RNA is filed under the name uncultured bacterium. RNAcentral's name for it is "partial 16S ribosomal RNA". It matches the Rfam family "Bacterial small subunit ribosomal RNA", at positions 28 to 523 of the family's 1533-position model. The record is from RNAcentral.